AGGGAAUUUUGCGCAAUGGAGGAAACUCUGACGCAGCAACGCCAUGUGUGGGAUGAAGCAUUUCGGUGUGUAAACCACUGUCAGCAGGGAAUAAAUAGCUCCUUCGGGGGCGAUUGAAUGUACCUGCAAAGGAAGCCCCGGCUAACUUCGUGCCAGCAGCCGCGGUAAUACGAGGGGGGCAAAUGUUGUUCGGAAUCACUGGGCGUAAAGGGAGCGUAGGCGGGUGUUUAAGUUAGGUGUUUAAUCCUGGGGCCCAACCCCAGUCGUGCACCUAAAACUGGACAUCUUGAAUAGUGGAGAGGUCAGUGGAAUUGGAGGUGUAGCGGUGGAAUGCGUAGAGAUCUCCAAGAACACCAGUUGCGAAGGCGGCUGACUGGACACAUAUUGACGCUGAGGCUCGAAAGCAUGGGGAGCAAA
This 417-nucleotide ribosomal RNA is filed under the name uncultured bacterium. RNAcentral describes it as "bacterial SSU rRNA". It matches the Rfam family "Bacterial small subunit ribosomal RNA", at positions 356 to 772 of the family's 1533-position model. The record is from RNAcentral.